Molecule: ribosomal RNA, 376 nt
Filed under: uncultured Serratia sp.
Lineage: Bacteria; Pseudomonadati; Pseudomonadota; Gammaproteobacteria; Enterobacterales; Yersiniaceae
Description: bacterial SSU rRNA
Rfam family: Bacterial small subunit ribosomal RNA
Source: RNAcentral
UAAUACGGAGGGUGCAAGCGUUAAUCGGAAUUACUGGGCGUAAAGCGCACGCAGGCGGUCUGUUAAGUCAGAUGUGAAAUCCCCGGGCUCAACCUGGGAACUGCAUUUGAAACUGGCAAGCUAGAGUCUCGUAGAGGGGGGUAGAAUUCCAGGUGUAGCGGUGAAAUGCGUAGAGAUCUGGAGGAAUACCGGUGGCGAAGGCGGCCCCCUGGACGAAGACUGACGCUCAGGUGCGAAAGCGUGGGGAGCAAACAGGAUUAGAUACCCUGGUAGUCCACGCUGUAAACGAUGUCGAUUUGGAGGUUGUGCCCUUGAGGCGUGGCUUCCGGAGCUAACGCGUUAAAUCGACCGCCUGGGGAGUACGGCCGCAAGGUUA